Oncorhynchus keta (chum salmon) is the source of this 501-nucleotide long non-coding RNA. RefSeq lists it as uncharacterized. Lineage: Eukaryota; Metazoa; Chordata; Actinopteri; Salmoniformes; Salmonidae. The transcript has 3 exons. The record is from RefSeq and is a predicted model, not a curated record.
UGAUAUGGAAUAACAUGAGGUAGAAUAGUUAGAUGGUGAUAUGGAAUAACAUGAGGUAGAAUAGUUAGAUGGUGAUAUGGAAUAACAUGAGGUAGAACAGUUAGAUCUAACUAGAUGGUGAUAUGGAAUAACAUGAGGUAGAAUAGUUAGAUGGUGAUAUGGAAUAACAUGAGGUAGAAUAGUUAGAUGGUGAUAUGGAAUAACAUGAGGUAGAACAGUUAGAUGGUGAUAUGGAAUAACAUGAGGUAGAAUAGUUAGAUGGUGAUAUGGAAUAACAUGAGGUAGAAUAGUUAGAUGGUGAUAUGGAAUAACAUGAGGUAGAACAGUUAGAUGGUGAUAUGGAAUAACAUGAGGUAGAAUAGUUAGAUGGUGAUAUGUAAUAACAUGAGGUAGAAUAGUUAGAUGGUGAUAUGGAAUAACAUGAGGUAGAACAGUUAGAUGGUGAUAUGGAAUAACAUGAGGUAGAAUAGUUAGAUGGUGAUAUGGAAUAACAUGAGGUAG